ACGAACGCUGGCGGCGUGCUUAAUGCAUGCAAGUCGCACGAGGCCCCAUCGACGGGUAACCGUCGCGGGGUACUAGUGGCGAACGGGUGAGUAACACGUGAGGAACCUGCCCCGGAGUCCGGGAUAGCCCAGGGAAACCUGGAUUAAUACCGGAUGCCCUCGAUCGGUCGCAUGUCUGGUCGAGGAAAGGUCCGCCGUUCCGGGAUGGCCUCGCGGCCUAUCAGCUUGUUGGUGAGGUAACGGCUCACCAAGGCAACGACGGGUAGCUGGUCUGAGAGGACAAUCAGCCACACUGGGACUGAGACACGGCCCAGACUCCUACGGGAGGCAGCAGCAGGGAAUAUUGCACAAUGGGCGAAAGCCUGAUGCAGCGACGCCGCGUGAGGGAUGAAGGCCUCCGGGUCGUAAACCUCUUUCAGGAGGGAAGAAGCGCAAGUGACGGUACCUCCAGAAGAAGCCCCGGCCAACUACGU
This 473-nucleotide ribosomal RNA is filed under the name uncultured bacterium. Its description in RNAcentral is "bacterial SSU rRNA". It matches the Rfam family "Bacterial small subunit ribosomal RNA", at positions 29 to 506 of the family's 1533-position model. The record is from RNAcentral.